Non-coding RNA from Pelobates cultripes (western spadefoot toad), 256 nucleotides. NCBI's taxonomy places the organism in Eukaryota, Metazoa, Chordata, Amphibia, Anura, Pelobatidae. The record is from the annotation of a GenBank genome assembly.
UUUGAACAUCUGCAAUACCUCUACUGGAAUCCCUUCGUUCUCCAGGAGCUCUGUUGAAAUCGGAAGUUCCCAGUACUUCAAAACCAUUGUCGUUAAAACCGAGAACCAGCUCCUAUUUGCCAGUAUGGGAUUAUGGCCAAUACCAUUGCCUGUUCUGUUUUCACCUUUUGCAAAAUCCUUGGAAUUAGGCUCACCGGGGGAAAUAUGUAUGCCAGACUGAAGUCCCACUUGAUCGACAGCCCAUCAAGAAACAGAG